AUUCCUCUCUCUCUCUCUCUCUCUCUCUCUCACACACACACACACACACACAGAGAGAGAGAGAGAGAGAGAGAGAGAGAGAG
This is a non-coding RNA of Podarcis lilfordi (Lilford's wall lizard), 83 nucleotides long. Lineage: Eukaryota; Metazoa; Chordata; Lepidosauria; Squamata; Lacertidae. The record is from the annotation of a GenBank genome assembly.